This 497-nucleotide ribosomal RNA is filed under the name uncultured bacterium. RNAcentral's name for it is "bacterial SSU rRNA". It matches the Rfam family "Bacterial small subunit ribosomal RNA", at positions 15 to 507 of the family's 1533-position model. The record is from RNAcentral.
GAUCCUGGCUCAGAUUGAACGCUGGCGGCAUGCUUUACACAUGCAAGUCGAACGGUAACAGGGAGCUUGCUCCGCUGACGAGUGGCGAACGGGUGAGUAAUGCAUCGGAACGUACCGUGUAAUGGGGGAUAACGUAGCGAAAGUUACGCUAAUACCGCAUACGCCCUGAGGGGGAAANCGGGGGAUCGUAAGACCUCGCGUUAUACGAGCGGCCGACGACCGAUUAGCUAGUUGGUAGGGUAAAGGCCUACCAAGGCGACGAUCGGUAGCUGGUCUGAGAGGAUGAUCAGCCACACUGGGACUGAGACACGGCCCAGACUCCUACGGGAGGCAGCAGUGGGGAAUAUUGGACAAUGGGCGCAAGCCUGAUCCAGCCAUGCCGCGUGUGUGAAGAAGGCCUUCGGGUUGUAAAGCACUUUUGUCCGGAAAGAAAUCUUCCAACUUAAUACGUUGGGAGGAUGACGGUACCGGAAGAAUAAGCACCGGCUAACUUCGUG